This 779-nucleotide ribosomal RNA is filed under the name Escherichia coli. RNAcentral's name for it is "partial 23S ribosomal RNA". It matches the Rfam family "Bacterial large subunit ribosomal RNA", at positions 489 to 1268 of the family's 2925-position model. The record is from RNAcentral. Lineage: Bacteria; Pseudomonadati; Pseudomonadota; Gammaproteobacteria; Enterobacterales; Enterobacteriaceae.
AGUGAACCAGUACCGUGAGGGAAAGGCGAAAAGAACCCCGGCGAGGGGAGUGAAAAAGAACCUGAAACCGUGUACGUACAAGCAGUGGGAGCCUCUUUUAUGGGGUGACUGCGUACCUUUUGUAUAAUGGGUCAGCGACUUAUAUUCUGUAGCAAGGUUAACCGAAUAGGGGAGCCGAAGGGAAACCGAGUCUUAACCGGGCGUUAAGUUGCAGGGUAUAGACCCGAAACCCGGUGAUCUAGCCAUGGGCAGGUUGAAGGUUGGGUAACACUAACUGGAGGACCGAACCGACUAAUGUUGAAAAAUUAGCGGAUGACUUGUGGCUGGGGGUGAAAGGCCAAUCAAACCGGGAGAUAGCUGGUUCUCCCCGAAAGCUAUUUAGGUAGCGCCUCGUGAAUUCAUCUCCGGGGGUAGAGCACUGUUUCGGCAAGGGGGUCAUCCCGACUUACCAACCCGAUGCAAACUGCGAAUACCGGAGAAUGUUAUCACGGGAGACACACGGCGGGUGCUAACGUCCGUCGUGAAGAGGGAAACAACCCAGACCGCCAGCUAAGGUCCCAAAGUCAUGGUUAAGUGGGAAACGAUGUGGGAAGGCCCAGACAGCCAGGAUGUUGGCUUAGAAGCAGCCAUCAUUUAAAGAAAGCGUAAUAGCUCACUGGUCGAGUCGGCCUGCGCGGAAGAUGUAACGGGGCUAAACCAUGCACCGAAGCUGCGGCAGCGACACUGUGUGUUGUUGGGUAGGGGAGCGUUCUGUAAGCCUGUGAAGGUGUGCUGUGAGG